This is a non-coding RNA of Chrysemys picta bellii (western painted turtle), 678 nucleotides long. Lineage: Eukaryota; Metazoa; Chordata; Testudines; Emydidae. The record is from RefSeq and is a predicted model, not a curated record.
UACCAAGGGAGGAAAAAUGCCAGCCGGGGUCUCAGCCGGCUGCCAGCCUGGGGUUCCUUCACCCAGGCCGGCAGCAGGCGCUGAGUGAGACUGGCGGUGGGACCCUGGCUGGCAGGAGCCGGCGGUGGAAACCCCAGAGCGGUGGCGGGCUCAACCUGCCGCGGCAUGCCAUCAAAAAUCGGCUCACAUGCCACCUUUGGCACGUGUGCCGUAGGUUGCCGACCCCUGAUCUAGGGGCUGAUUUAGGUGAGAGGCUGAUGAAUCCACUAGUGGCCCAUCGCAAUCCUUUUUACACAGUAGCCAAUCCUGUUUGUAAAUCCCGAGGUGGCUGGCUCAGUCUCCCAGGAUAUUCCAUCCAAGAGGUCAUUGUUACUGAGCAUGUCUAUGGCGGUGGUGACUGGAGGCCAGCCAGGCCGGGACCCUAGGCGCUGUACGACUGCAUCUGAAUCAGGGGAGGUGCAUAGGCAGAUGAGUCCUGUUAACUUUCCCCUUCAGAAUCCCUCCUGAAUAUUAUUGAAACUCACAAGUUAUAUACGGUCCAGUGUCGGGAAAGAAAUGGAUUGGGCUGGAUGCUACCAGCGUGUGGCAUAAGAUUAAAUUACAUUUUGUCGGCAAUCUGCACGAUAUAUGGGCUCUUUAAAUUUUAUAUGGGGCCCAAUAAAUUGUUUGAAAUAGCCA